RNAcentral lists this ribosomal RNA (506 nucleotides) under uncultured bacterium. Its description in RNAcentral is "partial 16S ribosomal RNA". It matches the Rfam family "Bacterial small subunit ribosomal RNA", at positions 30 to 523 of the family's 1533-position model. The record is from RNAcentral.
AUUGAACGCUAACGGCAUGCUUAACGCAUGCAAGUCGAACGGCAGCACAGCAGUAGCAAUACUGUGGGUGGCGAGUGGCGGACGGGUGAGUAAUCUAUAGGAAUCUGCCUUGUAGUGGGGGAUAAAUUGGGGAAACUCGGGCUAAUACCGCAUAAUCUUUACGAAGAAAAGAGGGGGAUAGAACGACCUUGCUAUAUAAGAUGAGCAUAUAUUGGAUUAGCUAGUUGGUGGGGUAAAGGCCUACCAAUGCGACGAUCCAUAGCUGGUCUGAGAGGAUGAUCAGCCACACUGGGACUGAGACACGGCCCAGACUCCUACGGGAGGCAGCAGUGGGGAAUAUUGGACAAUGGGGGAAACCCUGAUCCAGCAAUGCCGUGUGUGUGAAGAAGGCCUUCGGGUUGUAAAGCACUUUUAGUGGGAAAGAAAAGCUCAAAGCUAAUAACUUUGAGCCUUGACGUUACCCACAGAAAAAGCACUGGCUAACUCUGUGCCAGCCGCCGCGGUAA